GACGAACGCUGGCGGCGUGCUUAACACAUGCAAGUCGAUCGGAAAGGCCCUGCUUUUGUGGGGUGCUCGAGUGGCGAACGGGUGAGUAACACGUGAGUAACCUGCCCUUGACUUUGGGAUAACUUCAGGAAACUGGGGCUAAUACCGGAUAGGAGCUCCUGCUGCAUGGUGGGGGUUGGAAAGUUUCGGCGGUUGGGGAUGGACUCGCGGCUUAUCAGCUUGUUGGUGGGGUAGUGGCUUACCAAGGCUUUGACGGGUAGCCGGCCUGAGAGGGUGACCGGCCACAUUGGGACUGAGAUACGGCCCAGACUCCUACGGGAGGCAGCAGUGGGGAAUAUUGCACAAUGGGCGGAAGCCUGAUGCAGCAACGCCGCGUGCGGGAUGACGGCCUUCGGGUUGUAAACCGCUUUCGCCUGUGACGAAGCGUGAGUGACGGUAAUGGGUAAAGAAGCACCGGCUAACUACGUGCCAGCAGCCGCGGUGAUACGUAGGGUGCGAGCGUUGUCCGGAUUUAUUGGGCGUAAAGGGCUCGUAGGUGGUUGAUCGCGUCGGAAGUGUAAUCUUGGGGCUUAACCCUGAGCGUGCUUUCGAUACGGGUUGACUUGAGGAAGGUAGGGGAGAAUGGAAUUCCUGGUGGAGCGGUGGAAUGCGCAGAUAUCAGGAGGAACACCAGUGGCGAAGGCGGUUCUCUGGGCCUUUCCUGACGCUGAGGAGCGAAAGCAUGGGGAGCGAACAGGCUUAGAUACCCUGGUAGUCCACGCUGUAAACGGUGGGUACUAGGUGUGGGGUCCAUUCCACGGGUUCCGUGCCGUAGCUAACGCUUUAAGUACCCCGCCUGGGGAGUACGGCCGCAAGGCUAAAACUCAAAGGAAUUGACGGGGCCCCGCACAAGCGGCGGAGCAUGCGGAUUAAUUCGAUGCAACGCGUAGAACCUUACCUGGGUUUGACAUGGAUCGGGAGUGCUCAGAGAUGGGUGUGCCUCUUUUGGGGUCGGUUCACAGGUGGUGCAUGGCUGUCGUCAGCUCGUGUCGUGAGAUGUUGGGUUAAGUCCCGCAACGAGCGCAACCCUUGUUCACUGUUGCCAGCACGUUAUGGUGGGGACUCAGUGGAGACCGCCGGGGUCAACUCGGAGGAAGGUGGGGAUGACGUCAAGUCAUCAUGCCCCUUAUGUCCAGGGCUUCACGCAUGCUACAAUGGCUGGUACAGAGAGUGGCGAGCCUGUGAGGGUGAGCGAAUCUCGGAAAGUCGGUCUCAGUUCGGAUUGGGGUCUGCAACUCGACCUCAUGAAGUCGGAGUCGCUAGUAAUCGCAGAUCAGCAACGCUGCGGAGAAUACGUUCCCGGGGCU
Molecule: ribosomal RNA, 1346 nt
Filed under: uncultured bacterium
Lineage: Bacteria
Description: partial 16S ribosomal RNA
Rfam family: Bacterial small subunit ribosomal RNA
Source: RNAcentral